UACGAAGGGGGCUAGCGUUGUUCGGAAUUACUGGGCGUAAAGGGCGCGUAGGCGGUCUUGUAAGUCAGGCGUGAAAGGCCCGGGCUCAACCUGGGGACUGCGUUUGAUACUGCGAGGCUUGAAUCCGGGAGAGGAUGGCGGAAUUCCCAGUGUAGAGGUGAAAUUCGUAGAUAUUGGGAAGAACACCGGUGGCGAAGGCGGCCAUCUGGACCGGUAUUGACGCUGAGGCGCGAAAGCGUGGGGAGCAAACAGG
RNAcentral lists this ribosomal RNA (253 nucleotides) under uncultured bacterium. Its description in RNAcentral is "partial 16S ribosomal RNA". It matches the Rfam family "Bacterial small subunit ribosomal RNA", at positions 524 to 776 of the family's 1533-position model. The record is from RNAcentral.